Molecule: non-coding RNA, 1028 nt
Organism: Pelobates cultripes (western spadefoot toad)
Lineage: Eukaryota; Metazoa; Chordata; Amphibia; Anura; Pelobatidae
Source: the annotation of a GenBank genome assembly
GGAAGAGAGUACCAGGAAAAGGUACUGAUUCACAACUACUUAUCCCAACCAAGCUAAAAUAUUUUCAUUUUAAUUUCUACAGAGGUGCUACUGCACUUCUCUAACUAAGUCCUUUUGGUAUUUAAUAGUAGUAAGCAAUCGAUGGGAGAAAUCCAGAAAUUUUUAUCCUACAUUUACAGAUUUGAUAACCAGUAAACCAAAUCUGAAAUAAUUAUAGAAAGCUUACUUUGCAGUUAAAGGGACACUAUAAGUACCAUAACAAUGUUACCCUAAUGGAGCUGUUUUGUUGUAUAUAUCAUGCCCCACUUGGACUCACUGCUCAAUUCUUUGCCAUUUAGGAGUUAUAUAAUUUUGUUUAUGAAGCCCUAGUUAUACACUCCCAUUAACAAAAAAGAAACACCAUGAAUUUUCUUUUAUUUACUUCCCAUAUUGCACAUUGUGUUUACACCUGCUCUGUUAAUUGUAUGCCAGAGCCAACAGCAGCCUCCUGUUUGUGAUUAAAGUUCAAUUAUCAGGGGAGCAGAUAAGAACCUCUGAAGUAAAUACAUCAUGUUGUAAGAAUUAACCAUUUUUAAUGUAAGCUGUGUUAGUCACUCCCAGGGGAUAAACAGAAUAAAGUAACUGCUAAAUGUCCGAGAAUAGAGCAGUGAGACUGGAGGGGCAUGCUCUAUACACCAAAACUACUUCAUUAAGCUAAAGUUGUUUUGGUGCUUAGAAUAUUUCUUAAACAGACUGGUUAUAGAUUAGGUUACUGUCCCUUUAAAUAGGUAAAAUGUUAACUCCUUUAUCUAAUCUGUUGUCUUUUAUAUGUUUUUCAGGGAAACGUGUCCGCCAUUACUACUAUUACAGAGUACUUGGUUAGCUCGCUCCUGCUAUGCUACAACCCAUCAAGCAGCAGCUAAAAUAAGAAAAUAAUGGAACAGUCUUGGAUUAAGUAAAAAAAAUGACAUGCUAACAAGAAUGCUUCGACGUAUGAAAACACUGUUUGAAUAGCAUGGUAAACACUCUGUAGAAACUGUGUAGAGUGC